Molecule: ribosomal RNA, 468 nt
Filed under: uncultured bacterium
Lineage: Bacteria
Description: partial 16S ribosomal RNA
Rfam family: Bacterial small subunit ribosomal RNA
Source: RNAcentral
GACGAAGGAGGGAGGCGUGCUUAACACAUGCAAGUCGAACGGAAAGGCCCUGCUUUUGUGGGGUGCUCGAGUGGCGAACGGGUGAGUAACACGUGAGUAACCUGCCCUUGACUUUGGGAUAACUUCAGGAAACUGGGGCUAAUACCGGAUAGGAGCUCCUGCUGCAUGGUGGGGGUUGGAAAGUUUCGGCGGUUGGGGAUGGACUCGCGGCUUAUCAGCUUGUUGGUGGGGUAGUGGCUUACCAAGGCUUUGACGGGUAGCCGGCCUGAGAGGGUGACCGGCCACAUUGGGACUGAGAUACGGCCCAGACUCCUACGGGAGGCAGCAGUGGGGAAUAUUGCACAAUGGGCGGAAGCCUGAUGCAGCAACGCCGCGUGCGGGAUGACGGCCUUCGGGUUGUAAACCGCUUUCGCCUGUGACGAAGCGUGAGUGACGGUAAUGGGUAAAGAAGCACCGGCUAACUACGUG